GAGUACAGGCAGCUGGUUGGUGCUAGCUGCCUCUACGUCCCCCAAGAUGACCUGUAGGUCAGCCUUGGGCCUGCUGC
This 77-nucleotide microRNA precursor is filed under the name Octodon degus (degu). Its description in RNAcentral is "miRNA (ENSODEG00000022049.1)". The record is from RNAcentral. Lineage: Eukaryota; Metazoa; Chordata; Mammalia; Rodentia; Octodontidae.